GAUUACUUAAUGGGCUGGCGCCUUGCCAUAUGGGAACCAGGGGCCGCGCCCGUCACCUCACCGCCCAGGAUGAAGCUGCCCAACGGCACGACUGAAGGCCGCUGAGGAAGAGUUGAAGGCGCGGAAGGUGCCCACGCCCAGGGAGUAGGCGAACAGCAGCCGCCGCUC
Non-coding RNA from Chelonoidis abingdonii (Abingdon island giant tortoise), 168 nucleotides. The record is from RefSeq and is a predicted model, not a curated record. NCBI's taxonomy places the organism in Eukaryota, Metazoa, Chordata, Testudines, Testudinidae.